UGGAAGCGUCUGGAAAGGCGCGCGAUACAGGGUGACAGCCCCGUACACAAAAAUGCACAUAUUGUGAGCUCGAUGAGUAGGGCGGGACACGUGGUAUCCUGUCUGAAUAUGGGGGGACCAUCCUCCAAGGCUAAAUACUCCUGACUGACCGAUAGUGAACCAGUACCGUGAGGGAAAGGCGAAAAGAACCCCGGCGAGGGGAGUGAAAAAGAACCUGAAACCGUGUACGUACAAGCAGUGGGAGCCUCUUUAUGGGGUGACUGCGUACCUUUUGUAUAAUGGGUCAGCGACUUAUAUUCUGUAGCAAGGUUAACCGAAUAGGGGAGCCGAAGGGAAACCGAGUCUUAACUGGGCGUUAAGUUGCAGGGUAUAGACCCGAAACCCGGUGAUCUAGCCAUGGGCAGGUUGAAGGUUGGGUAACACUAACUGGAGGACCGAACCGACUAAUGUUGAAAAAUUAGCGGAUGACUUGUGGCUGGGGGUGAAAGGCCAAUCAAACCGGGAGAUAGCUGGUUCUCCCCGAAAGCUAUUUAGGUAGCGCCUCGUGAAUUCAUCUCCGGGGGUAGAGCACUGUUUCGGCAAGGGGGUCAUCCCGACUUACCAACCCGAUGCAAACUGCGAAUACCGGAGAAUGUUAUCACGGGAGACACACGGCGGGUGCUAACGUCCGUCGUGAAGAGGGAAACAACCCAGACCGCCAGCUAAGGUCCCAAAGUCAUGGUUAAGUGGGAAACGAUGUGGGAAGGCCCAGACAGCCAGGAUGUUGGCUUAGAAGCAGCCAUCAUUUAAAGAAAGCGUAAUAGCUCACUGGUCGAGUCGGCCUGCGCGGAAGAUGUAACGGGGCUAAACCAUGCACCGAAGCUGCGGCAGCGACACUAUGUGUUGUUGGGUAGGGGAGCGUUCUGUAAGCCUGUGAAGGUGGCCUGUGAGGGUUGCUGGAGGUAUCAGAAGUGCGAAUGCUGACAUAAGUAACGAUAAAGCGGGUGAAAAGCCCGCUCGCCGGAAGACCAAGGGUUCCUGUCCAACGUUAAUCGGGGCAGGGUGAGUCGACCCCUAAGGCGAGGCCGAAAGGCGUAGUCGAUGGGAAACAGGUUAAUAUUCCUGUACUUGGUGUUACUGCGAAGGGGGGACGGAGAAGGCUAUGUUGGCCGGGCGACGGUUGUCCCGGUUUAAGCGUGUAGGCUGGUUUUCCAGGCAAAUCCGGAAAACCAAGGCUGAGGCGUGAUGACGAGGCACUACGGUGCUGAAGCGACAAAUGCCCUGCUUCCAGGAAAAGCCUCUAAGCAUCAGGUAACAUCAAAUCGUACCCCAAACCGACACAGGUGGUCAGGUAGAGAAUACCAAGGCGCUUGAGAGAACUCGGGUGAAGGAACUAGGCAAAAUGGUGCCGUAACUUCGGGAGAAGGCACGCUGAUAUGUAGGUGAAGCGACUUGCUCGUGGAGCUGAAAUCAGUCGAAGAUACCAGCUGGCUGCAACUGUUUAUUAAAAACACAGCACUGUGCAAACACGAAAGUGGACGUAUACGGUGUGACGCCUGCCCGGUGCCGGAAG
RNAcentral lists this ribosomal RNA (1552 nucleotides) under Escherichia coli. RNAcentral's name for it is "partial 23S ribosomal RNA". It matches the Rfam family "Bacterial large subunit ribosomal RNA", at positions 333 to 1875 of the family's 2925-position model. Lineage: Bacteria; Pseudomonadati; Pseudomonadota; Gammaproteobacteria; Enterobacterales; Enterobacteriaceae. The record is from RNAcentral.